GGCGGCCGUGAAGCGCCCCCGCCCCACCCCCGGCAUCAGCGUCCCGGAGCGGAGCGGCCUCCCGGCGCCUCCCGCGCUACCCGAGCCGCAGGCCCGCACGAUGGCCGACCUCGCGCCGCAGGUUAACUACCUGGCGGGCUUCUGCUGCCCGCUCGGGGGCCUGGCGGCGGGCAAGCCCCGCGUGCUGUGCCUCGGGGCGGAGAUCUUCCUGUCCACCGGGAGCGAGCUGGUCUACGUCUACGACCAGGAGGCGGGGCUGCUGACCGCGGUGUACAGGUUUCCGGGUCAGGUGUGGCACCUGGAGCUUCUGGCCCUUCGCAGGGCGCUUUACGUCCUGUGCGCCCACAGGGGCAUCUACUGCAUGUCGUUGGACCAGGCGAGCAGGUCUGUGAGCCAGGAUGACGGGGACGAUGGGGACAGUGAGGACAGUCAGGACGGUGAGUCCCCUUCCCGUAUGAUCCCUGUGGAUCCAGACGCCUGUGUCCUCCAUGAUGCCACGCUGUGCACUUUCACCGUGCUCGACAAUUUGCUCAUCACCUUAGCACAGGGCCCCGCCCGGUGGAAGGUGCAGCUGUUCGAGUGUCCCUGUCCAGGAGAGGACCCCCUGCUCAAAGGCCAGAUCGGUGAGGUGGAGUUGUCCACCCCCCCAGCUGGGAGUCCGAGAGAGCCUGCAGCCCCCUACUUCCUCCCAGUGCUGUGCUGCAUGUCACCGCCAGGCUCCAGAGUCGCACACAGCCACCUGCACGGCUCCAGGGGCUUCACGCUGGAGGAGACCCUCUUUGGGCUACUCUUUGGAACUGAUGCCUCCCUCCUGGAGUCACCCGUGAUCCUCUGUGGUCUCCCCGAUGGCCAGCUUUGCUGUGUGGUCCUGCAGACCCUGGUCACCUCUGGGUUGGCCCCUGGUGACUCGAAGGCUCUUGUCAAGAUCCUCCAUCACCUGGAGGAGCCCGUCGUCUUCAUUGGGGCCUUGAGGACAGAGCCACUGGCUGAGGACGUGGAAGACUCACACUCCGACUGCCUGGUGGCACUUGGUCAUCAUGGCCGGACACUGGCUGUCAAGGCCAGCUGGGAUGAGGCUGGGAAUCUGGUGCCAGAGCUGCGGGAGUACUGCCUCCCGGGGCCUGUGCUCUGUGCAGCCUGCGGCGGGGGCGGCCGCAUGUACCACAGCACCCCCUCGGACCUCUGUGUGGUAGACCUGGCUCGGGGAGGCACUCCCUGGGACCCCAUGCAGCCGGACACGGGCCCAGGAGGCUUGCCCUCUCUGCUGUGUCCAGCGAGCUUGAGUGUCUGCAGCGUCGUCACCCUGUCUGUGUCGUCUAGGGCACCUGAAGGUGGCACUGAGCUCUUGGCCCUGUCUGCCAAAGGCCGCCUGAUGACCUGCAGGCUGGACCUGAACUCUGAGACGCCUUCCCCUACCAGAGUGACCGCAGCAAACACUGGCCGAAAAAUCAAGGAAUUGCUCUCUGGAAUUGGCACCGUCUCUGAGAGAGUGUCUUUUCUGAAGAAGGCAGUUGACCAGCGGAACAAGGCUCUGAUGUGCCUCAAUGAAGCCAUGAACGUGAGCUGUGCCCUGCUGUCAAGCCGGGAGGGCCCCAGGCCCAUCUCCUGUACCACCACCACCACCUGGAGCCGCCUGCAGCUGCAGGACAUGCUUAUGGCCACCUGCCUGCUGGAGAACAGCAGCGACUUCAGCCUGGACCGGGGCUGGGCCUUGUGCAUCCAGGUGCUCACCAGCUCCCGGGCCUUGGAGCUGGACUCGGCCAGCUCAGCGGUCACCUACACCAUCCCCGUGGACCGGCUCGGCCCUGGCAGUCGGCGGGAGGUGACGCUGCCCCUGGGCCCUGGCGAGGACGGCAUGCUCGAUCUGCCUGUGACCGUGUCCUGUGCACUCUUCUACAGCCUCCGGGAGGUCGUGGGCGGGGCCCUCACCCCCUCAGACUGUUCCAAGGACCCCUCCUUGGAUAUGUGCCCCCUUGAUGUCCUGCCUGAGCAGGAGGGCAUCUGCCUGCCCCUGAGUGAGCACACGGUGGACAUGUUGCAGUGUCUGCGCUUCCCCAGCCUGGCCACACCCCACAUGCAGGCCCCCAGCCUGCUCAGCCCAGUCAGUGACCCUGUGGACACCUUCCUGGGAGCUUGCCUUGGGCCAGGCAGCAAGCCGGCUGGACCUGCAUCUCUGCGGGCCGCCUACCUGCCUCCAUCAGUGGCCGCCAUCAAGGUGUCAGCGGAGCUGCUGAGGGCCACCGUGGGGGACAGUUACUCAGGCGUGUCCUUAUGCUGUGCCACCCUGCAGUGGCUCCUGGCCGAGAAUGCUGCUGUGGACAUCGUGAGGGCCCGAGCACUGUCCUCUGUGCAGGGAGUGGCCCCAGAUGGCACCGACGUCCACCUCAUCAUCCGCGAGGUGGCGGUGACCGACCUGUGUCCGGCAGGGCCUCUCCAGGCCGUGGAGAUCCAGGUGGAGAGCUCCUCUCUGGCCAACAUGUGCCAGGCUCACCACGCUAUCAUCGGGCGUAUGCAGCGGAUGGUCGUCGAGCAGGCCGCCCGGGGCUCCAGCCCACCUGACCUCCGUAUGCAGUAUCUCCACCAGAUCCAGGCCAACCACGAGAUGCUGCUGCGGGAGGUGCAGACCCUGCGUGACCGGCUGUGCACGGAGGACGAAGGCCACUCCUGCGCCACCGCCGAGAAGCUCCUGCAGCUGUACAGGCAGCUUCGCAGCCCCAGCCUCCUCCUGUUGUGAUUCAGGUCGGCCCUGCCCCUUCCAGCCACUCACAGUGCCUUCGUGGUUUUACAGAGAAAAACCUGGAAUCUGCCCACAGCCUCCUCACACGACCUGGUGGUCACUGCUGGGCAGUCUCCCACCCGGAGUGCUGGGCUGGAUCAGCGACAUCCCCUCUGCUCAGAAGUCAGGCCCAGGACACAGACCCUGGACCCCAAAGCAGGAGCGUUGUUGCCUGAGCGGCCUGCAGAGGCCAUGGAGGAACAGGGUUUCUGGAGUUAGGACUUGGGGCGGGUUUGUAUCCAUUCCCACCCCUCUGCCCCGAGCGCGGGGCUGCCCCUUCUAGCGACACGCCCCUCCCCCCCGAACCUCCCAUCCAGCUCAGGGCACCUUGCCCUGCCACUCUGCAGCAGCUGGGGCCACCAGGUGUGAGGGCGCCUCCUGUGACUGAAGCACAAAAAUGGCCGGGGGGCGGGUGGGGGGAGCUCACGGAAGUGCCCAGUGGCCUCCGGUGGCCUGUGGCCAGAACACUCAACAACUAGGUGCCUCCAGCUAUGGCUGCACCCAGCACCAAGCACUGCAUUGUUGCCAGGGCCCCUCAGGGUGGGCGCAGCCCCACAGCCCUCCCUCAGCCUGGGCAGCAGCCUGGCUCAGCUCUGGUGCUGGCGUUCUCGGCAUCUGGGGAGGUGACAGUGCUCUCCUGUGGUGCGUGCGGGAUCCCCCUGUGAGGCCCCCCACCCACAUUGACCCUUUGUGCUGAA
RNA transcript from Equus caballus (horse), 3474 nucleotides. It is a transcript of the gene named FA core complex associated protein 100, with no coding region annotated. The record is from RefSeq and is a predicted model, not a curated record. Lineage: Eukaryota; Metazoa; Chordata; Mammalia; Perissodactyla; Equidae.